CCCUUAGAUGUUCUGGGCCGCACGCGUGCUACACUGAGUGGAUCAGCGGGUCAGGUUGCGCGAAAGUGUUUCCUAAUCUUUAAAUCCGCUCGUGAUGGGGAUUGACGGUUGCAAUUUUCCGUCAUGAACGAGGAAUACCUUGUAAGCGCGGGUCAUCAUCCCGCGCUGAAUACGUCCCUGCCCUUUGUACACACCGCCCGUCGCUCCUACCGAUUGCGUGGUCCGGUGAGGCUUUGGGAUCUGAGCGGAAAGAGCGUUUCGCUGUUUCUGCCCGGAAAACUCAGUCGAACCUUAUCAUUUAGAGGAAGGAGAAGUCGUAACA
This 322-nucleotide ribosomal RNA is filed under the name uncultured eukaryote. Its description in RNAcentral is "partial 18S ribosomal RNA". It matches the Rfam family "Eukaryotic small subunit ribosomal RNA", at positions 1470 to 1796 of the family's 1831-position model. The record is from RNAcentral.